RNAcentral lists this ribosomal RNA (429 nucleotides) under Bacteroidota bacterium. RNAcentral's name for it is "Bacteroidetes bacterium partial 16S ribosomal RNA". It matches the Rfam family "Bacterial small subunit ribosomal RNA", at positions 355 to 776 of the family's 1533-position model. The record is from RNAcentral. Lineage: Bacteria; Pseudomonadati; Bacteroidota.
UAGGGAAUCUUCGGCAAUGGGGGGAACCCUGACCGAGCAACGCCGCGUGAGUGAAGAAGGUUUUCGGAUCGUAAAGCUCUGUUGUUAAGGAAGAACGAGUGUGAGAAUGGAAAGUUCAUACUGUGACGGUACUUAACCAGAAAGGGACGGCUAACUACGUGCCAACAGCCGCGGUAAUACGGAGGUCCCGAGCGUUGUCCGGAUUUAUUGGGCGUAAAGCGAGCGCAGGCGGUUAGAUAAGUCUGAAGUUAAAGGCAGUGGCUCAACCAUUGUAGGCUUUGGAAACUGUUUAACUUGAGUGCAGAAGGGGAGAGUGGAAUUCCAUGUGUAGCGGUAAAAUGCGUAGAUAUAUGGAGGAACACCGGUGGCGAAAGCGGCUCUCUGGUCUGUUACUGACGCUGAGGCUCGAAAGCGUGGGGAGCGAACAGG